RNAcentral lists this ribosomal RNA (292 nucleotides) under uncultured Verrucomicrobiota bacterium. Its description in RNAcentral is "uncultured Verrucomicrobia bacterium partial 16S ribosomal RNA". The record is from RNAcentral. Lineage: Bacteria; Pseudomonadati; Verrucomicrobiota.
GGACUACACGGGUUUCUAAUCCCGUUUGCUCCCCUGGCUUUCGUGCCUCAGCGUCAGGAAAUGUCCAGAGACUCGCCUUCGCCACUGGUGUUCCACUUGAUAUCUACGCAUUUCACUGCUACACCAAGUAUUCCAGUCUCCCCUCCAUUCCUCGAGCCGGAUAGUAUCCACUGCAGUUUCCGAGUUAAGCUCGGAGAUUUCACAACAGACUUACCCGACCGCCUACGCACCCUUUACGCCCAGUGAAUCCGAACAACGCUUGGGACCUCUGUAUUACCGCGGCGGCUGGCAC